CGGGAUAACUGCCGGAAACGGCAGCUAAUACCGGAUACUAUCCCCCUUCCGCAUGGGAGGAGGAUGAAAGCUUUCGCGGUGCGAGAUGGGGUCGCGGCCCAUCAGGUAGUAGGUGGGGCAGCAGCCCACCUAGCCUACGACGGGUAGCCGGACUGAGAGGUCGAUCGGCCACAUUGGGACUGAGAUACGGCCCAGACUCCUACGGGAGGCAGCAGUGGGGAAUAUUGCGCAAUGGGGGAAACCCUGACGCAGCAACGCCGCGUGCGGGAUGAAGGCCUUCGGGUUGUAAACCGCUUUCAGCAGGGAAGACGCAGACGGUACCUGCAGAAGAAGCCCCGGCUAACUACGUGCCAGCAGCCGCGGUAAUACGUAGGGGGCGAGCGUUAUCCGGAUUCAUUGGGCGUAAAGCGCGCGCAGGCGGACCGUUAAGCGGGACCUCUAAUCCUGGGGCUCAACCUCAGGCCGGGUCCCGAACUGGCGGUCUCGAGUGCGGUAGGGGAGGUCGGAAUUCCCGGUGUAGCGGUGGAAUGCGCAGAUAUCGGGAAGAACACCGAUGGCGAAGGCAGACCUCUGGGCCGACACUGACGCUGAGGCGCGAAAGCUAGGGGAGCGAACAGGAUUAGAUACCCUGGUAGUCCUAGCCGUAAACGAUGGA
RNAcentral lists this ribosomal RNA (655 nucleotides) under uncultured bacterium. RNAcentral describes it as "bacterial SSU rRNA". It matches the Rfam family "Bacterial small subunit ribosomal RNA", at positions 139 to 813 of the family's 1533-position model. The record is from RNAcentral.